This 226-nucleotide unclassified non-coding RNA is filed under the name Geastrum campestre. RNAcentral describes it as "partial internal transcribed spacer region". The stretch from base 1 to 46 matches the Rfam family "Eukaryotic small subunit ribosomal RNA", at positions 1786 to 1831 of the family's 1831-position model. The record is from RNAcentral. Lineage: Eukaryota; Fungi; Basidiomycota; Agaricomycetes; Geastrales; Geastraceae.
AAGUCGUAACAAGGUUUCCGUAGGUGAACCUGCGGAAGGAUCAUUACCGAAGUCAAUAGAGUUUGAGACUGCGUCUUAUGGCGUGUGCUCGCUCUUACUCUUCCUAUCCACACCUUUGUGCACCAUGGGACGAAACAAGUCCCCUUUAUUAAUACCUAGUUAUAUGUAUGUCUUUAUAUACUCUAAGGAGUUAAUACAACUUUCAACAACGGAUCUCUUGGCUUUC